This 257-nucleotide long non-coding RNA is filed under the name Lathyrus oleraceus (garden pea). RNAcentral's name for it is "Pisum sativum (pea) long non-coding RNA (PSAT_LNC006231)". The record is from RNAcentral. Lineage: Eukaryota; Viridiplantae; Streptophyta; Magnoliopsida; Fabales; Fabaceae.
AACCUCUUUAUUCUCUUUUUUUUUUGUGGUUCAUCGGGAUGCCCUUUUUUUUGCCCGGACUAUUCUUUUUAUCGUCCAGCGGGUCUAUUUUAUGCGAAGUAUUUUUUUUUAACUGCGUCUGAGUUAAUAGGGGACGGGAAUCCUUCGCCAUCCAUGGUUGUUAGCAUCAAAGCUCCGCCAUAGAAAAUCCUUUUAACCACGUACGGACCCUCAUAGUUCGGUGUCCAUUUGCCCCUGUGAUCUGUGUUGGGAGGAAG